GCUCCACCAUAUUUAUUUACACGAAGAUAGAGAUAUUUAACAAUUUAGUAUAGAAAUAGACUUAAGUAAAUAAGUGCAAGCGGUAGAUGCCUUGGCAUUCAGAGGCGAUGAAGGACGUGUUAAUCUGCGAUAAGCUUCGGGGAGCUGGUAAAUAAGCUUUGAUCCGGAGAUUUCCGAAUGGGGGAACCCACCUAACACAAGUUAGGUACUCACUCGACAUAGAGUGUAGAGCGAACGAGGGGAACUGAAACAUCUAAGUACCCUUAGGAAGAGAAAUCAAUUGAGAUUCCCAUAGUAGUGGCGAGCGAAGUGGGAAGAGCCUGGUGUGAUUUAGCUGUAAUUAUAGUAGAACAAGUUGGGAAGCUUGACGAUAGAGGGUGAUAGUCCCGUAUACGAAAUAAUUACAGUGGAACUAAGCAUGCGAACAAGUAGGACGGGGCACGUGAAACCUUGUCUGAAUAUGGGGGGACCAUCCUCCAAGGCUAAAUACUCCUGAAUGACCGAUAGUGAACUAGUACCGUGAGGGAAAGGUGAAAAGAACCCUUAUAAAGGGAGUGAAAUAGAAUCUGAAACCGCUUGCAUACAAGCAGUAGGAGCAUUAUUUAGUAAUGUGACUGCGUACCUUUUGUAUAAUGGGUCAGCGAGUUACUUUUAGUGGCGAGGAUAACUGAAUAAGGGAUCCGUAGCGAAAGCGAGUUUUAAUAGGGCGAUAAGUCGCUAGGAGUAGACCCGAAACCGGCGCGAUCUAUCCAUGGCCAGGUUGAAGGUUGGGUAAUACCAACUGGAGGACCGAACCCAAUACUGUUGCAAAAGUAUGGGAUGAGCUGUGGAUCGGAGUGAAGGCUAAUCAAGCACGGAGAUAGCUGGUUCUCCUCGAAAACUAUUUAGGUAGUGCCUCGUGUAUAACUCAUUGGGGUAAAGCACUGUUUCGACAAUGGGGGUUUUACGACCUUACUGACUCGAUGCAAACUCAGAAUACGAUGAAGUUCAAUCACGGGAGACACACUGCGGGUGCUAAGGUCCGUAGUGGAAAGGGAAACAGCCCAGACCGCCAACUAAGGUCCCCAAGUCAUAGCUAAGUGGGAAACGAAGUGGGAAGGCCCAGACAGCCAGGAGGUUGGCUUAGAAGCAGCCACCCUUUAAAGAAAGCGUAAUAGCUCACUGGUCGAGUCGGCCUGCACGUAAGAUUUAACGGGGCUAAGCUAUGCACCGAAGUUGUGGAAUAUAUUUAGUAUAUUGGUAGGGGAGCGUUCUGUAAGCCGAUGAAGGUGUGUUGAGAAGCAUGCUGGAGGUAUCAGAAGUGCGAAUGCUGACAUGAGUAACGUAAAAUAAGUGAGAUUCUUAUUGGCCGAAAACCCAAGGAUUCCUACGCAAUGUUAAUCAACGUAGGGUAAGCCGGCCCCUAAGGCGUAGCUGAAGAGUGAAGUCGAUGGGAAACAGGUUAAUAUUCCUGUGCCGCUUAUAUGAACGAAGGAGGGACGGAGAAGGUUAGGUAGGCCUGGCGGAUGGUUGUCCAGGUGAAAGUAUGUAGGUAGAGGUGCUAGGCAAAUCCGGCAUCUUGUUGAUCUGAGAUACGAGACGAAGUCAAACAAGUUUGACAAAGCUAUUGAUACCAUGCUUCCAGGAAAAGCUUCUAAGUAUAUUAUAUAAGCGACCGUACUGUAAACCGACACUGGUGGGUAGGUAGAGAAUACUAAGGCUAUGAGAUAACUCUGGUGAAGGAACUAGGCAAAAUGACACCGUAACUUUGGAAGAAGGUGUGCCAUUGAUGGUGAUGAGACUUGCUCUCUGAGCUGUUGGGGGUUGCAAAUACCAGGUGGCUGCGACUGUUUAUCAAAAACACAGCACUCUGCUAAAUCGUAAGAUGAAGUAUAGGGUGUGACGCCUGCCCGGUGCUGGAAGGUUAAUUGAAGGGGUUAGCGCAAGCGAAGCUCUGGAUCGAAGCCCCAGUAAACGGCGGCCGUAACUAUAACGGUCCUAAGGUAGCGAAAUUCCUUGUCGGGUAAGUUCCGACCUGCACGAAUGGCGUAACGACGGCCACACUGUCUCCACCAGAGACUCAGUGAAAUUGAAAUCGCUGUGAAGAUGCAGUGUACCCGCGGUUAGACGGAAAGACCCCGUGAACCUUUACUAUAGCUUUGCACUGGACUUUGAAUAUUUAUGUGUAGGAUAGGUGGGAGACUUUGAAGUAGCUACGCCAGUAGUUGUGGAGUCGUCCUUGAAAUACCACCCUUGAAUAUUUGAAGUUCUAACUCAGGAGAGAUUCGAGGACAGUGUAUGGUGGGUAGUUUGACUGGGGCGGUCUCCUCCUAAAGAGUAACGGAGGAGUACGAAGGUGCACUCGGUACGGUCGGAAAUCGUGCCAAGAGUAUAAAGGCAAAAGUGCGCUUGACUGCGAGAGUGACGGCUCGAGCAGGUACGAAAGUAGGUCUUAGUGAUCCGGUGGUCCCGUAUGGAAGGGCCAUCGCUCAACGGAUAAAAGGUACUCCGGGGAUAACAGGCUGAUUCCUCCCAAGAGUUCAUAUCGACGGAGGAGUUUGGCACCUCGAUGUCGGCUCAUCACAUCCUGGGGCUGAAGCAGGUCCCAAGGGUAUGGCUGUUCGCCAUUUAAAGUGGUACGCGAGCUGGGUUCAGAACGUCGUGAGACAGUUCGGUCCCUAUCUGCCGUGGGCGUUAGAGAUUUGAGAAGAGUUGCUUCCUAGUACGAGAGGACCGGAGUGAACGAACCACUGGUGUUCCGGUUGUUUCGCCAGAAGCAUUGCCGGGUAGCUACGUUCGGAAGGGAUAACCGCUGAAAGCAUCUAAGCGGGAAGCCUCCUUCAAGAUUAGAUCUCUCUGAUGAAGAUCAGUAAGGAACGUUGGAGACUACGACGUUGAUAGGCUGGGUGUGGAAGUAUAGCAAUGUAUGAAGCUUACCAGUACUAAUGAUCCGAGAGACUUAAGUCUAUUUCUAUGCUGAAUUGUUAAAUAUCUUUUAAGAUAUAUUAUCCAAAACACAGUUUUGGCGAUAAUAGCUUGUAGGAACCACCUGAUCCCAUUCCGAACUCAGA
This 3050-nucleotide ribosomal RNA is filed under the name Francisella noatunensis subsp. noatunensis. The record is from RNAcentral. Lineage: Bacteria; Pseudomonadati; Pseudomonadota; Gammaproteobacteria; Thiotrichales; Francisellaceae.